UAUUACAAGGGCUUUUGAUUUGGAGGAUAGAGUUGGGGAACUGUUUGGUUGGUUGGUUAUAGAAGGUGAUUCACUUAUGUGAUAAACUCGUGUAAUAAAAUUUUUAGACCACUUUGGCAACUCAGACUGUUAUGGUCACAGGUUACGGAGUUUAUUGUUGUAUGCUCGGUGAGUUUCAACUAUGUCUAUAGGGAAGCUAAUGACGUUGUCUAUAGAGAAGCCAAUGAGGUUGUAGAUAACUCGGCGAAGAGGGGUGUAUCUAUGGACUCGUUAAUUGUUUCUUCUUAUUUAUUGUAAUUUUGCGAUGUAACUACCUUUUGAUCUAAUAAAAUCAAGCACA
This 340-nucleotide long non-coding RNA is filed under the name Amborella trichopoda. Its description in RNAcentral is "long non-coding RNA (ATRI_LNC005259)". The record is from RNAcentral. Lineage: Eukaryota; Viridiplantae; Streptophyta; Magnoliopsida; Amborellales; Amborellaceae.